UGGGGAAUAUUGCACAAUGGGCGCAAGCCUGAUGCAGCCAUGCCGCGUGUAUGAAGAAGGUUUUCGGAUCGUAAAACUCUGUUGUUAGAGAAGAACAAGGACGUUAGUAACUGAACGUCCCCUGACGGUAUCUAACCAGAAAGCCACGGCUAACUACGUGCCAGCAGCCGCGGUAAUACGUAGGUGGCAAGCGUUGUCCGGAUUUAUUGGGCGUAAAGCGAGCGCAGGCGGUUUCUUAAGUCUGAUGUGAAAGCCCCCGGCUCAACCGGGGAGGGUCAUUGGAAACUGGGAGACUUGAGUGCAGAAGAGGAGAGUGGAAUUCCAUGUGUAGCGGUGAAAUGCGUAGAUAUAUGGAGGAACACCAGUGGCGAAGGCGGCUCUCUGGUCUGUAACUGACGCUGAGGCUCGAAAGCGUGGGGAGCAAACAGG
RNAcentral lists this ribosomal RNA (429 nucleotides) under Chloroflexota bacterium. Its description in RNAcentral is "Chloroflexi bacterium partial 16S ribosomal RNA". It matches the Rfam family "Bacterial small subunit ribosomal RNA", at positions 355 to 776 of the family's 1533-position model. Lineage: Bacteria; Bacillati; Chloroflexota. The record is from RNAcentral.